UAAUUAGGGGUUGAAUGAAUGGAUCUGUGCCGGGUGUGGAGUUGGUAUUUGAGAAUGGAAGUACAAAAGGGAGCAACGGCUGUGACUGGCUUAUGGUCACGAGAGUGGUAAAUAGAUGAUCACGGUCGCGGUUGUUUAUUGAUCAUAACCGUUGUGUUAAUCACAUUGCCGGUGUGAUUGACUUGUUGUCAUGAUCGUGGUCUAUUCAAUAUAUAAAAAUGGAUAGGGUUUUAGUAAAAAAAAAAAAAUAGAAUUCUC
This 258-nucleotide long non-coding RNA is filed under the name Linum usitatissimum (flax). Its description in RNAcentral is "long non-coding RNA (LUSI_LNC005005)". Lineage: Eukaryota; Viridiplantae; Streptophyta; Magnoliopsida; Malpighiales; Linaceae. The record is from RNAcentral.